GCCCGCCGUCAGCACGUCACGUCACCGCCCGGGAGAGAGACCCAGGAAAAUGCGGAAGGGUAGACAGGCCCCCUCCUCCGCCCGGUGGGUCCUCCUGGCACCCCGUGUCGGCGCCGCUCCCGCCCCGCGACCGGGGAGCCCAGUGGCCUCGCUGCGGCGGGGUCUCCGGCGGCCGGAGUCUCCGUGACAGCGCCCCCCUUCUUUCCACCUCCUCCGCGCUCCCGCCCGCCGCCGCCACACACGCGCCGCUGCCGCCGCCGCCUCGGCCGUAAAGCCCGCGCGGGGCCGCGGUCGGCCGACCCCGCGGAGAGGCAGGCGGCCCGGCCGCCCCCCACCAUGUCCCGUGGGCCGCGGCCGCCCCCCGGGGGCCUCCCUGGAGACCUACCGCCUCUCGCGCCGGUCCUGGCCGAGGCUCCAGCUCGAGUUGUUUGCAGGCCCUCAGACCCCCGCCCGCAGUAAAUGUGUUUUCUUCAUCCCCGUGGCUGGGGAGGAAGAUAAAUUUAGCAACCCCCGCCGUCCCCUGCCUUCGCUUAAAAAAAAAAAAUCUUUGAAAUAAAAUGAAAACGGGCUUGCCAGUCUAAAUGGGUGUGCGGGAAGGGGGGUGGAGUGGGGGGAGAAGGGUUAUCCCUAGAGCACCUACCAGGCCGUCUACUUUUUAAAAAUAAGCAGUCAGAGCCAAACUGAUUUUAUUAGUUUGUACGGGGGAGGGAGAUGAGCAAAGUUGCAUUUUGAAACGUUUCGCACGUUGCAAAGAACAGGAAUUUUCUGUGUAUUUUCCUAUGUACCCGUGUUUCAGAGCUUGGGAGCCUGUGAAAUGUAAGACUGGUGUCAUCGUUUCAUAAAUCAUGAAUUUUCCACAUUCCUUAAUAGAGAGGAGCCCAAUUGGGUAUGGAUUUUUUUUUUUUUAAACACACUGCUUAAACAAGCCUUUUGAAGUUUCAAAAGACUUGGGAGAGAAGGGGAAAAUGAUUAAACAGCACUUACCAACUUCAAAAAUGUGUAUUUCGCACUUUACUUAGUUUAAAUGUUUAUGCUAUCUUUCCAUGCUGAACUUGGAACCCAAACUCUGUUUUAAAGUUACUAGGGAAAAGUUAAAUAGUGGAGUCUUUACAUUAAUCUGGAAUCUGGCAUGCUAUCCUUUAACACAGCACUAAAUGUUAAAGGCAUUUUUAAACAAUAAGAAACACAAAAAUUAUAAAGCAAAUAGUAUACUGGUGUGAAAUCUCUUUAAAUACAGAGGCCACGUAUUUUAGUUGCCUGACAUAACUCUUUAAAACUCCCAGAAUGCAAUUUGUCCCUUCCCUCAGACAUCUCUCAAUCACAAAUGCUUUCAAAAAGGAAAAACAAAAGUAGAGUAAGAAGAAAUCUCUGAGCAUGCACUGGAUGAUAAUUUUCCUCUCGGGGCUUUAGUCUGAAUUUUUCCAAGCGAUUAAAUUUCCUUUCAAAAAUAGUAACAGCAUGUAUUCAUUGUUUAUAAAAAUUACAUCAGGCUGUGAUAGACUUUCACAGAAAGACAUUUCACAGAAAGGUAAAUGAAACUAAGCAAUGUUGUUUCAAUAAAAAAAAAUGAGAAAUAGCUUGUGUGCCCACAUUAAUAUUUCUUGCACUCCCAGACUGGAGUGCAAUGGCGUGAUCUUGGCUCACUGAACCUCUGCCUUCGGGGUUCAAGCGAUUCUCCUGCCUCAGCCUCCCGAGUAGCUGGGAUUACAGGCACUUGCCACCACGCCUGGCUAAUUUUUCUAUUUUUUUAGUAGAGAUGGGG
RNAcentral lists this long non-coding RNA (1762 nucleotides) under Homo sapiens (human). Its description in RNAcentral is "non-protein coding ZFX-AS1:4". The record is from RNAcentral. Lineage: Eukaryota; Metazoa; Chordata; Mammalia; Primates; Hominidae.